AUCUGUAACACGAUCGAAUGAUCUAUGAGAGAAUUAAUUCGAUCGAAUUUGUACGUAGAUAGACAAAGUUUCCAUAAGCGAAGCAUUGUACGAUUAAAGAGAAAAAGAGCUAAUCUAUUCGAUCGCAAUGAUCUCGUUAAUUUGGAAACACGAUACUACACUAUCCAUUUCAUUCGUUCGCACAAUGCUCGUGACGGAUAGACGAGUCGAAGAGCUGCAAGAGAGCAUAUGCAUGUUCGCACAACGAGGGAAAGCCUCCUGUAGGCAGAAGGGUCGGAGAAAUGGAGAAAGAGAAAGAGAAGGGAACGGUAUGUUUCCAACAGUCGGCGGAAAUUAAUGGCUGAAGCGUACGGAUAUAUCCUGUAGAUACUCACCAGCUGUACUCAGGCCCGGACUGGAGGUGAACUUGGCCACGUCGACGAUUUUUACAGCGAAAGUCUGCCCGGUCUGUCGGUGAAUGCAUUUCCGAACGACGCUGAAUGGUCCCCUGAGACAAUGGAAGAGAAAGACAUUAAUAUGAAAGAAUGAACGCUGAGAUAAUUGGAAUUCUCAUUUUCCUUGGAGAUAUCUUGAUCUUCU
Vespula pensylvanica (western yellowjacket) is the source of this 579-nucleotide long non-coding RNA. RefSeq lists it as uncharacterized. The transcript has 3 exons. The record is from RefSeq and is a predicted model, not a curated record. Lineage: Eukaryota; Metazoa; Arthropoda; Insecta; Hymenoptera; Vespidae.